Molecule: ribosomal RNA, 2284 nt
Filed under: Salmonella enterica subsp. enterica serovar Moscow str. SA20061414
Lineage: Bacteria; Pseudomonadati; Pseudomonadota; Gammaproteobacteria; Enterobacterales; Enterobacteriaceae
Description: bacterial LSU rRNA
Rfam family: Bacterial large subunit ribosomal RNA
Source: RNAcentral
GGGUUGUGAGGUUAAGCGACUAAGCGUACACGGUGGAUGCCCUGGCAGUCAGAGGCGAUGAAGGGCGUGCUAAUCUGCGAUAAGCGCCGGUAAGGUGAUAUGAACCGUUAUAACCGGCGAUACCCGAAUGGGGAAACCCAGUGUGAUUCGUCACACUAUCAUUAACUGAAUCCAUAGGUUAAUGAGGCGAACCGGGGGAACUGAAACAUCUAAGUACCCCGAGGAAAAGAAAUCAACCGAGAUUCCCCCAGUAGCGGCGAGCGAACGGGGAGGAGCCCAGAGCCUGAAUCAGCAUGUGUGUUAGUGGAAGCGUCUGGAAAGGCGCGCGAUACAGGGUGACAGCCCCGUACACAAAAGCGCAUGUGCUGUGAGCUCGAUGAGUAGGGCGGGACACGUGGUAUCCUGUCUGAAUAUGGGGGGACCAUCCUCCAAGGCUAAAUACUCCUGACUGACCGAUAGUGAACCAGUACCGUGAGGGAAAGGCGAAAAGAACCCCGGCGAGGGGAGUGAAAAAGAACCUGAAACCGUGUACGUACAAGCAGUGGGAGCACCCUUUGGGUGUGACUGCGUACCUUUUGUAUAAUGGGUCAGCGACUUAUAUUCUGUAGCAAGGUUAACCGAAUAGGGGAGCCGGAGGGAAACCGAGUCUUAACCGGGCGUUAAGUUGCAGGGUAUAGACCCGAAACCCGGUGAUCUAGCCAUGGGCAGGUUGAAGGUUGGGUAACACUAACUGGAGGACCGAACCGACUAAUGUUGAAAAAUUAGCGGAUGACCUGUGGCUGGGGGUGAAAGGCCAAUCAAACCGGGAGAUAGCUGGUUCUCCCCGAAAGCUAUUUAGGUAGCGCCUCGUGAAUUCAUCUCCGGGGGUAGAGCACUGUUUCGGCUAGGGGGCCAUCCCGGCUUACCAACCCGAUGCAAACUGCGAAUACCGGAGAAUGUUAUCACGGGAGACACACGGCGGGUGCUAACGUCCGUCGUGAAGAGGGAAACAACCCAGACCGCCAGCUAAGGUCCCAAAGUCAUGGUUAAGUGGGAAACGAUGUGGGAAGGCCCAGACAGCCAGGAUGUUGGCUUAGAAGCAGCCAUCAUUUAAAGAAAGCGUAAUAGCUCACUGGUCGAGUCGGCCUGCGCGGAAGAUGUAACGGGGCUAAACCAUGCACCGAAGCUGCGGCAGCGACACUGUGUGUUGUUGGGUAGGGGAGCGUUCUGUAAGCCUGCGAAGGUGGCCUGUGAGGGUUGCUGGAGGUAUCAGAAGUGCGAAUGCUGACAUAAGUAACGAUAAAGCGGGUGAAAAGCCCGCUCGCCGGAAGACCAAGGGUUCCUGUCCAACGUUAAUUGGGGCAGGGUGAGUCGACCCCUAAGGCGAGGCCGAAAGGCGUAGUCGAUGGGAAACGGGUUAAUAUUCCCGUACUUGGUGUUACUGCGAAGGGGGGACGGAGAAGGCUAUGUUGGCCGGGCGACGGUUGUCCCGGUUUAAGCGUGUAGGUGUGUGUUCCAGGUAAAUCCGGUUCACUUUAACACUGAGGCGUGACGACGAGGCACUACGGUGCUGAAGCAACAAAUGCCCUGCUUCCAGGAAAAGCCUCUAAGCAUCAGGUAACAUCAAAUCGUACCCCAAACCGACACAGGUGGUCAGGUAGAGAAUACCAAGGCGCUUGAGAGAACUCGGGUGAAGGAACUAGGCAAAAUGGUGCCGUAACUUCGGGAGAAGGCACGCUGACACGUAGGUGAAGUGAUUUACUCAUGGAGCUGAAGUCAGUCGAAGAUACCAGCUGGCUGCAACUGUUUAUUAAAAACACAGCACUGUGCAAACACGAAAGUGGACGUAUACGGUGUGACGCCUGCCCGGUGCCGGAAGGUUAAUUGAUGGGGUCAGCGCAAGCGAAGCUCCUGAUCGAAGCCCCGGUAAACGGCGGCCGUAACUAUAACGGUCCUAAGGUAGCGAAAUUCCUUGUCGGGUAAGUUCCGACCUGCACGAAUGGCGUAAUGAUGGCCAGGCUGUCUCCACCCGAGACUCAGUGAAAUUGAACUCGCUGUGAAGAUGCAGUGUACCCGCGGCAAGACGGAAAGACCCCGUGAACCUUUACUAUAGCUUGACACUGAACAUUGAGCCUUGAUGUGUAGGAUAGGUGGGAGGCUUUGAAGUGUGGACGCCAGUCUGCAUGGAGCCGACCUUGAAAUACCACCCUUUAAUGUUUGAUGUUCUAACGUGGACCCGUUACCCGGGUUGCGGACAGUGUCUGGUGGGUAGUUUGACUGGGGCGGUCUCCUCCUAAAGAGUAAC